AGAGUUUGAUCCUGGCUCAGGACGAACGCUGGCGGCGUGCUUAACACAUGCAAGUGGAGCGACGAACCAGGGCUUGCCCUGGGGCAGAGCCGCGAACGGGUGAGUAACACGUGGGUAACGUGCCCCAAUGAUCGGGACAACCCGGGGAAACCCGGGCUAAUACCGAACGUGCUCUCCUCACACCAGUGAGGGGUGGAAAGGAAGCUUCGGCCUCCGCAUUGGGAUCGGCCCGCGGCCCAUUAGCUUGUUGGUGAGGUAACGGCUCACCAAGGCUGCGAUGGGUAGCUGGUCUGAGAGGACGAUCAGCCACACUGGGACUGGGACACGGCCCAGACUCCUACGGGAGGCAGCAGUGGGGAAUCUUGCGCAAUGCGCGAAAGCGUGACGCAGCAACGCCGCGUGGGGGAAGAAGGCCUUCGGGUUGUAAACCCCUUUCAGGAGGGACGAAGGUUGGGCGGUUAAUAGCCGACCUGACUGACGGUACCUCCAGAAGAAGCCCCGGCUAACUACGUGCCAGCAGCCGCGGUAAUACGUAGGGGGCAAGCGUUGUCCGGAAUUAUUGGGCGUAAAGCGCGUGUAGGCGGUCCGGUAAGUCGGCUGUGAAAGUCCAGGGCUCAACCCUGGGAUGCCGGUCGAUACUGCCGGACUAGAGUUCGGAAGAGGCGAGUGGAAUUCCCGGUGUAGCGGUGAAAUGCGCAGAUAUCGGGAGGAACACCAAUGGCGAAGGCAGCUCGCUGGGACGUUACUGACGCUGAGACGCGAAAGCGUGGGGAGCAAACAGGAUUAGAUACCCUGUAGUCCACGCCGUAAACGAUGGGCACUAGGUGUGGGAGGUGUCGACUCCUCCCGUGCCGGAGCUAACGCAUUAAGUGCCCCGCCUGGGGGAGUACGGGCCGCAAGGCUAAAACUCAAAUGAAUUGACGG
This 924-nucleotide ribosomal RNA is filed under the name uncultured bacterium. RNAcentral's name for it is "bacterial SSU rRNA". It matches the Rfam family "Bacterial small subunit ribosomal RNA", at positions 8 to 916 of the family's 1533-position model. The record is from RNAcentral.